CAAUUACCCAUCAAGGGUAUUUCAGACAAUCUAAUAAUACUUGGAGCCUAUUUGAUAUUGUUGUUAAACAUGAGUUAUUUGAGAAAUACUUUUAUAAAAUAGCUUUUUAGAAAAGUAUUUUUUUUAAAAAUAAUUUGUGUUUGAUAAAUUCAUUUGAAAAUUGCUUUUGAUAAACAAAUUGUGUUCGAACAAUCCUUUUUAAGAAGUUCUUUUGAGAGAGAAAUGACCAAACAGGAC
This 237-nucleotide long non-coding RNA is filed under the name Capsicum annuum. Its description in RNAcentral is "long non-coding RNA (CANN_LNC020663)". The record is from RNAcentral. Lineage: Eukaryota; Viridiplantae; Streptophyta; Magnoliopsida; Solanales; Solanaceae.